GAUGAACGCUGGCGGCGUGCUUAAUACAUGCAAGUCGAACGGGAGACUAGAAAUAGUUUUUAGUGGCGAACGGGUGAGUAACGCGUUGGUGACCUGCCCCGAAGAGAGGGAUAACAGUUCGAAAGGAUUGCUAAUACCGCAUGUGGUCAUUGGAUUUAGAAACCGAUGACUAAAGCAGUAAUGCGCUUUGGGAGGGACCUGCGUCCCAUCAGCUAGUUGGUGAGGUAACGGCUCACCAAGGCGACGACGGGUAGGGGACCUGAGAGGGUGGCCCCCCACAAUGGAACUGAAACACGGUCCAUACACCUACGGGUGGCAG
This 319-nucleotide ribosomal RNA is filed under the name uncultured Chloroflexota bacterium. RNAcentral describes it as "bacterial SSU rRNA". It matches the Rfam family "Bacterial small subunit ribosomal RNA", at positions 28 to 351 of the family's 1533-position model. Lineage: Bacteria; Bacillati; Chloroflexota. The record is from RNAcentral.